This 520-nucleotide ribosomal RNA is filed under the name uncultured Glomeromycotina. RNAcentral describes it as "SSU rRNA". It matches the Rfam family "Eukaryotic small subunit ribosomal RNA", at positions 569 to 1091 of the family's 1831-position model. The record is from RNAcentral. Lineage: Eukaryota; Fungi; Glomeromycota.
AGCAGCCGCGGUAAUUCCAGCUCCAAUAGCGUAUAUUAAAGUUGUUGCAGUUAAAAAGCUCGUAGUUGAAUUUCGGGAUCAAGUCGUCGGUCGUGCCUAGGUACGCACUGGUGACAUUGGUUUCUCCCUUCUGAAGAACCUUGAUGUCAUUAAUUUGGUGUCUUGGGGAAUCAGGACUGUUACUUUGAAAAAAUUAGAGUGUUUAAAGCAGGCUCACGCUUGAAUACAUUAGCAUGGAAUAAUGAAAUAGGACGUUUGAUUCUAUUUUGUUGGUUUCUAGGAUCGACGUAAUGAUUAAUAGGGAUAGUUGGGGGCAUUAGUAUUCAAUUGUCAGAGGUGAAAUUCUUGGAUUUAUUGAAGACUAACUACUGCGAAAGCAUUUGCCAAGGAUGUUUUCAUUAAUCAAGAACGAAAGUUAGGGGAUCGAAGACGAUUAGAUACCGUCGUAGUCUUAACCAUAAACUAUGCCGACUAGGGAUCGGAUGAUGUUAAUUUUUUAAUGACUCAUUCGGCGCCUUAC